This 505-nucleotide ribosomal RNA is filed under the name Faecalibacterium prausnitzii. Its description in RNAcentral is "bacterial SSU rRNA". It matches the Rfam family "Bacterial small subunit ribosomal RNA", at positions 1031 to 1533 of the family's 1533-position model. Lineage: Bacteria; Bacillati; Bacillota; Clostridia; Eubacteriales; Oscillospiraceae. The record is from RNAcentral.
GAGACAGGUGGUGCAUGGUUGUCGUCAGCUCGUGUCGUGAGAUGUUGGGUUAAGUCCCGCAACGAGCGCAACCCUUACUGUCAGUUACUACGCAAGAGGACUCUGGCAGGACUGCCGUUGACAAAACGGAGGAAGGUGGGGAUGACGUCAAAUCAUCAUGCCCUUUAUGACUUGGGCUACACACGUACUACAAUGGCGUUAAACAAAGAGAAGCAAGACCGCGAGGUGGAGCAAAACUCAGAAACAACGUCCCAGUUCGGACUGCAGGCUGCAACUCGCCUGCACGAAGUCGGAAUUGCUAGUAAUCGUGGAUCAGCAUGCCACGGUGAAUACGUUCCCGGGCCUUGUACACACCGCCCGUCACACCAUGAGAGCCGGGGGGACCCGAAGUCGGUAGUCUAACCGCAAGGAGGACGCCGCCGAAGGUAAAACUGGUGAUUGGGGUGAAGUCGUAACAAGGUAGCCGUAGGAGAACCUGCGGCUGGAUCACCUCCUUUCUAAGGAG